UUUUACAAUAUUGCUAAAAGGUUUAAAAAAUGUUUAAAUUGCUUCAGUCAUAGAUAAAAAUUUAUAAAGCAAAGAAGACCUUUAGUAUAUAUCAAAAGUCAUUUAUUUGUAAUUUUCUAUUUUUUAAACUAGUGAGAAUUUAACUGAAUUACUGUCUUUUAGCUCUAAAGUUUUGAUUACAUUGUUCUGUUUUAAAAUAGUUAAGAGUAGGGUGGAAGUAGUUUAGUGCUAGAGUAUGUGCUUAGCAUAUACAAGGAUCUGGAUUCAGUUCCUAGCACAAAAACGAAAUAAAGUUUAAGACCACAUCUCAAACAAAGUUGUUUAAAUAGACAAUGUUGGCCCUGAAUUAUAUCAAAGAUUUUUUUCCCUCUCAUCUUUGUCUGGUUUUAGUUCCUUCAGGUCAGUUACUAAUGGGGAACAAAUAUGUCAUGUUUUACAACUUAAUCUGU
Long non-coding RNA from Dipodomys spectabilis (banner-tailed kangaroo rat), 449 nucleotides. RefSeq lists it as uncharacterized. Lineage: Eukaryota; Metazoa; Chordata; Mammalia; Rodentia; Heteromyidae. The transcript has 3 exons. The record is from RefSeq and is a predicted model, not a curated record.